Molecule: ribosomal RNA, 492 nt
Filed under: uncultured bacterium
Lineage: Bacteria
Description: partial 16S ribosomal RNA
Rfam family: Bacterial small subunit ribosomal RNA
Source: RNAcentral
AGUGAACGCUGGCGGUAGGCCUAACACAUGCGAGUCGAACGGCAGCACAGUAAGAGCUUGCUCUUACGGGUGGCGAGUGGCGGACGGGUGAGGAAUACAUCGGAAUCUACUUUUUCGUGGGGGAUAACGUAGGGAAACUUACGCUAAUACCGCAUACGACCUACGGGUGAAAGCAGGAGAUCUUCGGACCUUGCGCGAUUGAAUGAGCCGAUUUCGGAUUAGCUAGUUGGCGGGGUAAAGGCCCACCAAGGCGACGAUCCGUAGCUGGCCUGAGAGGAUGAUCAGCCACACUGGAACUGAGACACGGUCCAGACUCCUACGGGAGGCAGCAGUGGGGAAUAUUGGGCAAUGGGCGCAAGCCUGAUCCAGCCAUGCCGCGUGGGUGAAGAAGGCCUUCGGGUUGUAAAGCCCUUUUGUUGGGAAAGAAAAGCAGCAGGUUAAUACCCCGCUGUUCUGACGGUACCCAAAGAAUAAGCACCGGCUAACUUCGUG